RNAcentral lists this ribosomal RNA (687 nucleotides) under uncultured bacterium. Its description in RNAcentral is "bacterial SSU rRNA". It matches the Rfam family "Bacterial small subunit ribosomal RNA", at positions 56 to 756 of the family's 1533-position model. The record is from RNAcentral.
UGCAGUCGACGAUGAAGGAGGAGCUUGCUCCUCCGGAUUAGUGGCGAACGGGUGAGUAAUACGUGAGCAAUGUGCCCUUGACUCUGGGAUAAGCGCUGGAAACGGCGUCUAAUACCGGAUACGACCCUCGGAGGCAUCUCCUGAUGGUGGAAAGAACUUCGGUCAAGGAUCAGCUCACGGCCUAUCAGCUAGUUGGUGAGGUAACGGCUCACCAAGGCGACGACGGGUAGCCGGCCUGAGAGGGUGACCGGCCACACUGGGACUGAGACACGGCCCAGACUCCUACGGGAGGCAGCAGUGGGGAAUAUUGCACAAUGGGCGCAAGCCUGAUGCAGCAACGCCGCGUGAGGGACGAAGGCCUUCGGGUUGUAAACCUCUUUUAGCAGGGAAGAAGCGAAAGUGACGGUACCUGCAGAAAAAGCACCGGCUAACUACGUGCCAGCAGCCGCGGUAAUACGUAGGGUGCAAGCGUUGUCCGGAAUUAUUGGGCGUAAAGAGCUCGUAGGCGGUUUGUCGCGUCUGCUGUGAAAACCCGAGGCUCAACCUCGGGCUUGCAGUGGGUACGGGCAGACUAGAGUGCGGUAGGGGAGAUUGGAAUUCCUGGUGUAGCGGUGGAAUGCGCAGAUAUCAGGAGGAACACCGAUGGCGAAGGCAGAUCUCUGGGCCGUAACUGACGCUGAGGAGCGA